ACACGAAAAUGCACAGGUUGUGAACUCGAAGAGUAGGGCGGGACACGUGGUAUCCUGUCUGAAUAUGGGGGGACCAUCCUCCAAGGCUAAAUACUCCUGACUGACCGAUAGUGAACCAGUACCGUGAGGGAAAGGCGAAAAGAACCCCGGCGAGGGGAGUGAAAAAGAACCUGAAACCGUGUACGUACAAGCAGUGGGAGCACCUUCGGGUGUGACUGCGUACCUUUUGUAUAAUGGGUC
Molecule: ribosomal RNA, 240 nt
Filed under: Mesorhizobium sp.
Lineage: Bacteria; Pseudomonadati; Pseudomonadota; Alphaproteobacteria; Hyphomicrobiales; Phyllobacteriaceae
Description: partial 23S ribosomal RNA
Rfam family: Bacterial large subunit ribosomal RNA
Source: RNAcentral